Molecule: small RNA, 900 nt
Filed under: uncultured Rubrobacteraceae bacterium
Lineage: Bacteria; Bacillati; Actinomycetota; Rubrobacteria; Rubrobacterales; Rubrobacteraceae
Description: bacterial SSU rRNA
Rfam family: Bacterial small subunit ribosomal RNA (bases 1-471)
Source: RNAcentral
GUCGUGAGAUGUUGGGUUAAGUCCCGCAACGAGCGCAACCCCCGUCGCAUGUUGCCAGCAUUUAGUUGGGGACUCAUGCGAGACCGCCGGUGACAAACCGGAGGAAGGUGGGGAUGACGUCAAGUCAUCAUGCCCCUUAUGUCCAGGGCUACACACGUGCUACAUUGGCGCGUACAGAGGGCUGCGAUACCGCGAGGUGGAGCGAAUCCCUUAAAGCGCGUCUCGGUUCGGAUUGCAGGCUGAAACUCGCCUGCAUGAAGGCGGAGUUGCUAGUAAUCGCGGAUCAGCACUGCCGCGGUGAAUACGUUCCCGGGCCUUGUACACACCGCCCGUCACACCAUGGGAGUGAGUAACACCCGAAGCCGGUGGCCUAACCCUUUUGGGAGGGAGCCGUCGAAGGUGGGACUCGCGACUGGGGUGAAGUCGUAACAAGGUAGCCGUAGCGGAAGCUGCGGCUGGAUCACCUCCUUUCUAGGGAGCCCUUACCAGGGCACCGGGCGCCGGCAGGAUCGUCACCUGAGCUCUCCGGAGUUCCGUGGCGCUCUCCUCAAGCGCGCUCGGCCACUAGAGAUGUCGACCGGGCCUGGCAGGCUGCACGGCGGGGCUUUGCGCCUCGGCGAUGCGGCUCGCAUGCUGUUGAGUUUUGAGAGACCGGCGCUUCGCCGGUGGCUCGCAGAUCCUGCGCGCCGACGCGCGUGGCGUAUGCCUCUUCGCGGACCUUGAAAACUGCACAGUAGCCAAUGACACGGGUAUCACCGAGAGUUGCGCAAGCAGCUCUCAGAUCACCGUCAAGAUAGUAAGGGCACAUGGUGGAUGCCUUGGCACCAAGAGUCGAUGAAGGGCGUGAACGGCUGCGAUAAGCCGCGGUUAGGCGCUGAAUAGCCUGCGACCCGCGGAUGC